Molecule: long non-coding RNA, 775 nt
Filed under: Dasypus novemcinctus (nine-banded armadillo)
Lineage: Eukaryota; Metazoa; Chordata; Mammalia; Cingulata; Dasypodidae
Description: lncRNA (ENSDNOG00000051745.1)
Source: RNAcentral
GCCCGCGGGACCCGUCCCCAGGCCGCCCGCCGGGUGCGCCCCGCGCGGGUACCGGGCGAGCCCCAGCGCAGAGAAUGUGCGGCGGCCCUCGGUGUGCACCCGCCCAGCUCCCCCUGACCCCACAUCCUCCUAAAAAUGCGGGGAGGCGGCACGCCCUGCCUCCCCCGACGCCCCCACCCCCACCGAGUGCGCGGCGCUGCGCCCCAACCGAGCCCUGGCGCCACCCCAGUGGCUCUGGAUCCGGACCCCAGCCUGGCUCCCCAGCGCGCAGGUUUGCUGAUUUAUCACCUGGGACGCCUUGCCCAUCCUCAGCUGUGAGAGAUCUACUUGCUCCAGUGCUAUCGACGCCUUGGUGGCCAUGGUGGAGUCGGGGCUCAGACCUCCUCUCCUCUGAAUCCUCUUGAAGAAUCUCCCACCACCUUCUCACUACCUGCAUUGGGAGCUUUUCACGUGUGCACGUUUGUGGAGGACAGGCGCCUUUUCCAGACAGAACCCGCUACCUUUGGAGUCAAAGCUGUUUUCACCAUUUGCGAACUUGAGAACCUAAGUUAUUUAAUCCUUUGAGAUUUGGGUUUUCUCUUCUAUAAAGGGGGGUACUAAAACCUACCUCAGGAUGUUGAUGGGAAGGCUAAUGUAAAAUGCUUGAGGCUGUGGAAACAAAGCUGCUUAUGUGUGAGUGGUCUGUGUGCGUGGGUAUGCGUGUGUGGGUGUGCAUGUGUGUGCAUGGUCUGUGUGUGCGUGGGUGUGCAUGUGUGUGAGCAUGCAUGUGUGUGAG